Molecule: long non-coding RNA, 707 nt
Organism: Pezoporus occidentalis (night parrot)
Lineage: Eukaryota; Metazoa; Chordata; Aves; Psittaciformes; Psittacidae
Exons: 2
Source: RefSeq, a predicted model, not a curated record
GGGGGGUGUUCUUUGAGCCGGAAUGGUGUGGAUUUAGUCCAUCCUAGAUGAGGCCAUCUCUUGUCCCAGGCUGCAGGCGCCAGGUCAGCAAGACUCCUGCCCCGUAAGGGCAGAAGAAAGAACUUCACACGUCUCCGUCAGCUGAAUGGCUCAGUCUUCCUAGGCUGCUAUUUCUCUAGAUGAAAACACAGAUACACCAAAUGUUGUCUGCGAAUACACCUGGGGAAACAACCGUUCUGUGCUGUUUAAGAAAAAAAAACCAAACCAAACCCAAACGAGUCACCACGCCAAAGAAACACCCCGCAAAUGACAUCCGUGAGGUACAAAUAGAGGCAUCGCUAGCAAAGGCUCAUGCAGAAGCUUACCUUGAGACCUUAGAAGCUUCUUCCAAAAUUGUACCCUCCUUAAUGAGUGAUGAGGGAUGGGUUUUGGAUGGAGAAGAGACGCAAUGAUCUAGCCAGUAGAUGGAGGUUGUUCCUUGUUCCUAGCAGAGGAUCCCUAUGUUAAUUAAAAUAAACAAGCUGCUUGGUGGAAAGAUUCCCCCCCCCCCCCCCCCCAUAGUCUCUAAUAUAGAAUUGACGUGGAUUUCUAACCUCUGACCUCUCCCAUGCACUUAUACCUGCCUUUUAUUUUCUGUUUGUUUCGAAAUCUUUUCCCAAACCCAAAUAGAUAAAUAAAGAAGAAGAAUGAAUGAAAGCAAAAAUUAA